GGGACCGUGGGGUAGUGGUAUCCUCUGGCGUUUGGGACGCUUGGACCCGAGUUCGACUCUCGGCGGUCCCA
RNAcentral lists this transfer RNA (71 nucleotides) under Halobaculum magnesiiphilum. Its description in RNAcentral is "tRNA-Pro". It matches the Rfam family "tRNA". From Rfam's summary of the family: Transfer RNA (tRNA) molecules are approximately 80 nucleotides in length. Their secondary structure includes four short double-helical elements and three loops (D, anti-codon, and T loops). The record is from RNAcentral. Lineage: Archaea; Methanobacteriati; Methanobacteriota; Halobacteria; Halobacteriales; Haloferacaceae.